AGUGAACGCUGGCGGUAGGCCUAACACAUGCAAGUCGAACGGCAGCACAGUAAGAGCUUGCUCUUACGGGUGGCGAGUGGCGGACGGGUGAGGAAUACAUCGGAAUCUACUUUUUCGUGGGGGAUAACGUAGGGAAACUUACGCUAAUACCGCAUACGACCUACGGGUGAAAGCAGGGGAUCUUCGGACCUUGCGCGAUUGAAUGAGCCGAUGUCGGAUUAGCUAGUUGGCGGGGUAAAGGCCCACCAAGGCGACGAUCCGUAGCUGGUCUGAGAGGAUGAUCAGUCACACUGGAACUGAGACACGGUCCAGACUCCUACGGGAGGCAGCAGUGGGGAAUAUUGGACAAUGGGCGCAAGCCUGAUCCAGCCAUACCGCGUGGGUGAAGAAGGCCUUCGGGUUGUAAAGCCCUUUUGUUGGGAAAGAAAAGCAGCAGGUUAAUACCCCGCUGUUCUGACGUUACCCAAAGAAUAAGCACCGGCUAACUUCGUG
This 492-nucleotide ribosomal RNA is filed under the name uncultured bacterium. RNAcentral's name for it is "partial 16S ribosomal RNA". It matches the Rfam family "Bacterial small subunit ribosomal RNA", at positions 29 to 507 of the family's 1533-position model. The record is from RNAcentral.